RNAcentral lists this long non-coding RNA (1197 nucleotides) under Marmota monax (woodchuck). Lineage: Eukaryota; Metazoa; Chordata; Mammalia; Rodentia; Sciuridae. The record is from RNAcentral.
AAAUGACCCCAGGUAGUGGCUUUGGAGCUAGGAAAGUUACGAGGCAAGAUAAGCCAUGCCUUUUGAGCUGAUUUUUUAAGGGAAUCACCAGACAGAUCAAUCAAGGGCAAAUAUUUCCAAGUAACAUUCAUGAUACUCCCUCUGGUACUGGUAUUAGGAUGGAGGCUUCCAUUUCCAAGGCUAACACUGAGCUGGAGAGCUAGAGAUGGCACUAAGGCAGGUUAAAAUGCCACAAAGUGUGGGGAGGUAGCUCAGUAGUAGAGUGUUGGCCUAGCACCUGUUCUUGGGUUUGAUACCAGCAAUACACACAAAGAGUUUCUGUGUUUGGGCUGGGCAAAGACUUCUAUAGGGUAAGAAUUAAAACCAAGAAUCAAUAAAUGGGAUGGAAUCAAACUAAAAAGUUUCUUCUCAGCAAAAGAAACAAUCUGUGAGGUAAGCAGAGAGCCCACAUCCUGGGAGCAAAUUCUUACCCCUCACACAUCAGAUACAGCACUAAUCUCUAGGGUAUAUAAAGAACUCAAAAAGCUAAACACCAAAAUAAUAAUAAUAAUAAUAACAACAACAAUAACAACCAAAUCAACAAAUGGGCCAAGGACAUGAACAGACACUUUUCAGAAGAGGAUAUACAAUUAAUCAAUAAAUAUAUGAAACAAUGUUAAUCAUCUCUAGCAAUUAGAGAAAUGCAAAUCAAAACUACUCUAAUAUAUCAUCUCACUUCUGUCAGAAUGGCAGCUAUUAUGAAGACAAACAACAAUAAGUGUUGGAGAGAAUGUGGGGGAAAAGGGACCCUGAUACAUUGCUGGUGGGACUGCAAAUUGGUGCAGCCAAUUAGAAAGCAAUAUGGAGAUUCCUUGGAAAUCUGAAAAUGGACCCACCAUUUGACCCAGCUAUCCCUCUCCUCGGUCUGUACCCAAAAGACUUAAAAACAGCAUACUACAGGGACACAGCCACAUCAAUGUUUAUAGUAGCACAAUUCACAAUAGCUAAACUGUGGAACCAAUCUACAUGCCCCUCAGUGGGUGAAUAGAUUAAAAAAAUGUGGCAUAUAUACACAAUGGAAUUUUACUCAGCAAUAAAAGAAUAAAAUCAUAGCAUUUACAGGUAAAUGGAUGGCAUUGGAGAAGAUAAUGCUAAGUGAAGUUAGCCAAUCCCAAAAAAACAAAUGCCGAAUGUUUUCUCUGAUAUAAGGAGGCUGAC